Molecule: ribosomal RNA, 235 nt
Filed under: uncultured bacterium
Lineage: Bacteria
Description: partial 16S ribosomal RNA
Rfam family: Bacterial small subunit ribosomal RNA
Source: RNAcentral
UGAGCAAUCUGCCCUUCUCUUCGGAAUAAGCGUUGGAAACGACGUCUAAUGCCGAAUACGACCUCCUUUCGCAUGAUCGGAGGUGGAAAGCUCCGGCGGAGAAGGAUGAGCUCGCGGCCUAUCAGCUAGUUGGUGUGGGUAAUGGCCCACCAAGGCGACGACGGGUAGCUGGCCUGAGAGGGUGACCCGGCCACACUGGGACUGAGACACGGCCCAGACCUCCGUACGGGAGCAG